GUGAAAUACCACCACCUAGAUCAAUAGUUACAGUUCACUAUGAGGGAUAUUUAUCUAAUCAGGUUUUAUUCGAUUCAUCAGUACAA
Dictyostelium firmibasis is the source of this 86-nucleotide non-coding RNA. The record is from the annotation of a GenBank genome assembly. Lineage: Eukaryota; Evosea; Eumycetozoa; Dictyosteliales; Dictyosteliaceae.